Long non-coding RNA from Brassica napus (rape), 1552 nucleotides. RefSeq lists it as uncharacterized. Lineage: Eukaryota; Viridiplantae; Streptophyta; Magnoliopsida; Brassicales; Brassicaceae. The record is from RefSeq and is a predicted model, not a curated record. The transcript is spliced from 2 exons.
UUAAAUAAAUAUAAUUUUUAUUUAUAAAUUCAGUAAAUAGAAAACAAAGUAAUUUCGUCGCUAAUUCCCGAUGUAUUAACGAGGAAAAUUAACGACGAAAUAUCGAGGAACAAUUAUCGAGGAUUUUACGUGGAUUUAGUUACGAUUCUAUUACGACGAAUUGUUUUCGUGUUUCUUACGUUUUUAUUACGACGAAUUUAUUUAGAGGUUUUUGCGUGUCUUUUAUGACGAAUCAUUUACGAGUUUCUUACGAGGAAGCACAACGACCGCGUUACGUGGAAACCCCACGUGGUCUUUACGACGAAAACUUAAUUCUUCUUUACGAGGAAAAUAUAACCUCGCUAAUUAACGAGGAAAUGGCGACGAAUCUUCUCUUACGACAAUCAUAUAACGACGAAACGCCUUUCAUCGCCAUUUCCUCGUAAGCCUUCUUUUCCGAGGAAAUAACGACGAUUUUGGCCGUCGUUAAAUUUGUGUUUUCUUGUAGUGUUUGGUUUCUCUGUCUCCCUCUCGCUGGUGCUCCCGGACGAAGAAAAUCGCAUGCUGAAUCGAAAGGUAAAGCUUUAUUGUUUUGUUUUUGUGUUUGAAUCCUUUGAUUAUGUGUUUGAAUCAUUCAAUUAUGUGUUUGAAUCUUUCACUGAGAUUCUUAUAAACUAUGAGAGAUGAUGAUUUCAAAAUUUUUCUUUUAUGAUUAUUGCUGGAUGUGAGUCGACCAUCCGUGACAGAAGCUGAAAGGUUGAAGCUUAUCUCCAAAGGAUGUGGUCCUAAAACCGUAGGCAUGUGAUCUUUUUGGUUCAGUUAAUUUGUAGAAGAAAAAUGAUCUGAUUGGUUUUUAACCACGGUAUGGACCAGAUUGUGAUCCUCUGUUUGAAGCCACGGUGAGAAGGGAAGGAGAAUCAGGGAGUUGACAUCUCUCGUGGAGAAGAGAUUCAUGUUUCCUCAAGACAGUGUUGAGCUUUACGUUGAGAAUGCCAACAGAGGUCUCUAUGCCAUUGCUCAGGCUGAGUCUCUCCGUUACAAGCUCCUCGGUGGACUUGCUGUUUACAGGUAUGUACAUUUCAUAAAAAUAGAUGCAGUGUAUCUGUAAAACCAUAUUAGAAACCUGAUAGCUUCACAUAGUGAUAUCAUCACACAUUAUAAUGUGGAACCAAUUACUUGUUGUGUGUGUAAUAUGGUACGAACUGAUGAAUACAAACAUUAUAAUCUGUUUCCUCUGUAGUUCUUCUGUUCUCUUCUUUUGGUCUCAGUUGCAAGCUUUUUUUAGGGUCGUGUCCGAGUGUUAAGAUAGCUUUCCUUGUUGUAAUGAUCUGAGUUGCUAGCUUUUUGCUUCUCUUUUGGUCUAAGAUUGUAAUAUAAUCUGAAGUGCAAGCUUUUCUUUCUUGUUUUGGUCUGAAGUUGUUAACUUGUAAUGAUCUGAUCUCUGUUGGGAUUUGAGCUGUCAGUAUCUUUUGAUCUCUGUUGUUGCUGGUGAGGUUUCAAUUUAUAACUUGUAAUAAUUUUUUUUGUAAAAACCUCUAAGAACUUACGAAUAAAACACUAAAAUUAAAGGUCU